GAUGAACGCUGGCGGCGUGCUUAACACAUGCAAGUCGAACGGAAAGGCCCAAGCUUGCUUGGGUACUCGAGUGGCGAACGGGUGAGUAACACGUGGGUGAUCUGCCCUGCACUUCGGGAUAAGCCUGGGAAACUGGGUCUAAUACCGGAUAGGACGAUGGUUUGGAUGCCAUUGUGGAAAGUUUUUUGGGUGUGGGAUGAGCUCGCGGCCUAUCAGCUUGUUGGUGGGGUAAUGGCCUACCAAGGCGUCGACGGGUAGCGGGCCUGAGAGGGUGUACGGCCACAUUGGGACUGAGAUACGGCCCAGACUCCUACGGGGGGCAGCAGUGGGGAAUAUUGCACAAUGGGCGCAAGCCUGAUGCAGCGACGCCGCGUGGGGGAUGACGGCCUUCGGGUUGUAAACUCCUUUCGCUAGGGACGAAGCGUUUUGUGACGGUACCUGGAGAAGAAGCACCGGCUAACUACGUG
Molecule: ribosomal RNA, 467 nt
Filed under: uncultured bacterium
Lineage: Bacteria
Description: partial 16S ribosomal RNA
Rfam family: Bacterial small subunit ribosomal RNA
Source: RNAcentral